Molecule: long non-coding RNA, 3131 nt
Filed under: Mus musculus (house mouse)
Lineage: Eukaryota; Metazoa; Chordata; Mammalia; Rodentia; Muridae
Description: long non-coding RNA chr9:26372533-26375664
Source: RNAcentral
UGUUGUAUACUUUCGUAAUAGUUUUUCUUAGUAGAUAUAUUUACAUUUUAAUCGAGUCAAAUUGUUCAUUUUAAUAUUGUCAUGAAUUGCUCAACAAUAAAAAUACAUAAGUGCAUAUACUGGCUAGUUUUGUGUCAACUUGACACAGCUGGAGAUAUCACAGAGAACGGAGCUUCAAUUGAGGAAAUGCCUCCAUGAGAUCCAACUGUAAGGCAUUUUCUCAAUUAGUGAUCAAGGGGAAAGGCCCCUUGUGGGGGGAACAUCUCUGGGCUGGUAGUCUUGGUUCUAUAAGAGAGCAGGCUGAGCAAGCCAGGGGAAGCAUGCCAGUAAAGAACAUCCCUCCAUGGCCUCUGCAUCAGCUGCUGCUUCCUGACCUGUUUGAGUUCUAGUCCUGACUUCCUUGGUGAUAAACAGCAGUAUGGAAUAGUAAGCUGAAUGAACCCUUUCCUCCCCAACUUGCUUCUUGGUCAUGAUGUUUGUGCAGGAAUAGAAACCCUGACUAAGACAGUACAUUAGAAAAUAUUUCAGGGAAAACAGCAUAGAAUAUACUUAUACAGCUUACUACACACCUACAUUAUAUGGUAUGGGUUUAUGCUUGUAGGUAUGAGUGUAUAUGUACAUAGAUGUAUGUGUGUGUGUGUGUCUGUGUGUGUAUGUGUGUGUCUGUGUGUGUGUCUGUGUGUGUGUGUGAUGUACUGUAUAUGGAAUAAUCUAUUAGCCUAGGGCCACAGUAUGGAAACAACACAAAUUUAAAGCAAGAACAAAAGAAAAUGGUACAAACCAGAGACUUUAUAAACAUUAUCUAUAUGAGCAUACUGUUUUCCAGAAAACUUUCUUUUAGCAUAUGACACGAUAUACUUGCAAAUAUGAGUAGUAAAUAUAUUACACAUAUAAUCAAUAGCAAAGUCAUUUAUUUUUGAAUAUUGUACAAUAUGCUUAGCUUCCUGUGCUCCAUCCAUUUCAUGUAAUGGACAGAACAACAUAUUUACUGACAUAGGAAGCAUUACAAAGACAUAAGUAAUGUGUCCAUUGAGAUGUUACAGUGGCUAUCUCCCUAAGUGACAGAGAUCGUUCUACUCCAUUAUAAUCCUAUGGAACCACUGUAAGAAACCUCACAAGAUUUCAUAACUUUCUGCUUCUUAUUCAGGCUAUAUGUGACCAUCACUGUCUGGAAGCAGAGUAGCUGUGAAGGUCCACUUGACACUGUCCUGAGAUCAUGUCUGUGAAGAUUACCCUAUGAAGGAAAAGAGGAAGUUCAUUAAGACUGUCCUAGCUAUAGUUGUUAUUUCUGUGAUGAAACAUCAUGACCAAAACAACUUGGGAAGGAAAGUGUUUAUUUGGCUUACAUUUCCAAAUCACUGAUUGUCAUUGAAGGAAGUCAGAAUAUACACUCAACAGGGUAGGAACCUGGUGGCAGGAGCUGAUGUAGAGGCCAUGAAAAAAAUCCUGCUUACUGGCUAGUUCAUCAUGGCUUACUCAGCCUGCUUUCUCAUAGAACCUAGGAUGACCAAGUGCCUUGGGAUGGUAUCACGCACAAUGGACUGAACCUCCAAUCAAUCACUAGUCAAGAAAAUACCCCACAGCAGGAUCUUAUGGAGGUAUCUCAUUUGAAAUUUCCUUUUUUUCAGAUGACUCAAACUGUGUUAAAUUGACGUAAAGCUUGCCAGGAUACAAGAUUCACAAGGCUCCCAAUAUCCUUACAAGGCCCUUCCACAUCACAUAUUCCAAUCACAACUCUACAAAAAUGAAACAGUUACUGGGUUAUCAGUUCUCAUUGUUAUUGAAACACAGUGACACGCACGUGUGCAUGCACAAGCGCGCACGCGCACACACACACACACUUUUUUGCAUUAUACUUUGUUUAGCUUUGAUACUUAUAUCAAUGAUCUAUGUUGGAUUAAUUUUUUGUAGAGUGUGGAACAGACUUGUAGAAGAAUAAAAUUCUAAGAUUCUUCAGGCUGUAUUGUAAUUGAGUCAUGGGUAAGAUUAAGUGAAAACUGGAGAUAUGACUUAGAGGAAUGGCUUCAUGGAGGUAAUGUGAAUUACAAUGGAAAUGUAUAAUGAUCAGAUCAUGGGGUGGAACAUUUUAAGACAAAGUCAUGGAGAAUGAAAUAGAAUAGUGUAGAUGAGAGACUUGGUGAGCUUAGCAAAUCAUUGUGUCUAUGAGGUAUGGUGAGGAAAGGGAAAGCCAGUGAGGAAGGCAUUUAAAGACACAGAAUAUCAGAUGUUGCCAUCUUUCUUUACUUUAACUUUCUCAUGAAAAUCUAUCCAGCCCCACCUGUCUGCAGAUUUACUGUUUUAGCUUAACCUUCAACAAAUAUCACAGCAUGCUGGUUCCUCAUUUUCUCACAAUUUCUCUCCACAUUCCUCCUGAUGCCCCUCAGCUAUGUAGUGGAUAUUGAACCUUCCUAUCUCCCAGAGAAGUUCUAGGCAGGAAAGCUCUCUCUGGCUGCUGAGGCUAGAACUAGCAAACAUCUCACCCAGCUCUUCUCAGAAUCAGCAUGAAGUGUAAUGUAAGAAACUAAAUAUAUUCUGAGCUGUUGCUGUGCCUUCCCAGAUUAAUCAGCUGGCUAAACAAAAUUAAGUUUGUUCCUUUGUUUCUGGAAGGGCACAGCAGAAGUGGAGAAGAUUCUGUGUGUACAAAAAAUAAAAUAAAAAAAUAAAACCACAAGAUUUUUCAGUCUCUUAAUUUGCAGAACUUUAUUUUUAAAAAGGCAUAUAUAAAGAGAGAAAGCAUUCAGGCUGUAUGCUGGCAACCGAUUUAGUAUUCAUUUUAAAUGAUUUGUAUGAGAUUCAAGACUUUCCUGUAAAUUUUCUCAUGAUUUAUUUCAUCAGCUAGCUCUUCACUUGCACUGAAUGUAUUUAUAUCCAUGCAAAUAGAUCAGCAGAGAUGCUGCUUUGUGACACGAGGUGGGGUUCUUUAUAAAAUUCUAAUGAUACUUGAAGAGAAGUGUAAUGAAGGUCAGACAAGGCAGAAAGGAGGAAAGGGGUGCAUCCAGAGGGGCAGGAGCAAGGAGUGGGGAGAAAGCAACUGGGGUUGUCAGAGAAACUGUAAGCUUGCUCACACUGAGUGAACCUAUCUUUUGUUUGCUUAGCAGGCUGCAUUCCAUGGCACAGGACACUGCUUAUGC